This 443-nucleotide ribosomal RNA is filed under the name uncultured bacterium. Its description in RNAcentral is "partial 16S ribosomal RNA". It matches the Rfam family "Bacterial small subunit ribosomal RNA", at positions 338 to 795 of the family's 1533-position model. The record is from RNAcentral.
ACUACGGGUCGCAGCAGUGGGGAAUAUUGGGCAAUGGAGGCAACUCUGACCCAGCAACGCCGCGUGCAUGAUGAAGGUCUUCGGAUUUUAAAGUUCUGUGAUGGGGGAUGAACACAAUGACGGUACCCCAAUAGCAAGCCACGGCUAACUACGUGCCAGCAGCCGCGGUAAUACGUAGGUGGCAAGCGUUAUCCGGAAGGACUGGGCGUAAAGGGUGCGUAGGUGGUUUAGUAAGUUGGCGGUGUAAUUCCGGGGCUCAACCUCGGCGCUACCGCCAAAACUAGUAGACUAGAGUGCAGGAGGGGUAAGUGGAAUUCCUAGUGUAGCGGUGGAAUGCGGAGAUAUUAGGAGGAACAUCAGGGGCGAAGGCGACUUACUGGACUGUAACUGACACUGAGGCACGAAAGCGUGGGGAGCAAACAGGAUUAGAUACCCGGGUAGUC